RNAcentral lists this long non-coding RNA (2770 nucleotides) under Sus scrofa (pig). RNAcentral describes it as "lncRNA (ENSSSCG00015027757.1)". Lineage: Eukaryota; Metazoa; Chordata; Mammalia; Artiodactyla; Suidae. The record is from RNAcentral.
GCAUUUCUAGCGUAGGUUGGGAAGCCGACACUCCCCGGUAACUGGCAGGGGGAGGCGGUUUGCGGGACGCUGCCGGGGGGCGCUGAGCUUUGUGCCAACCUCUCCCAGCGUCCGGCCAGCCAGGAGAAAGCUGCGAAUGCAGGAGGGGAUGAAGGCGGAGAAUGGGUGAGGAAGGAAGGGGCUGGGAAAUGGGAAGAGGUCGUUCUGCCCCCGAAACUACAUAAUGGCUGGGAAGGACCGCCAAACAAGACUGGAACCAGUAGGAAGUUGUACGGUAGGAAGAAGAGGAUGGCCAAGAUUUACUGGUUGAAAGACGAGACAGCUCCCUUCUGAUGCUUUCUAUCUGCCUUUGAAAUUCAUCAGCUAAGGGUGAGGAAGAGAUGGGAGAAUUGGAGUUUGAUUAUGUCAUAGAAGGUGAUGAGUAAGCAAACAGUAGAGGGGAGAAAAGGUCAUUCUUUGGAACAGCUGCAAGUUUGAUACCUUUGGUGCAUAUCUGCGAUAACCCUGAAGAGAGAAAAAGUCUACAGACUGUCUUUUGCAUGUAACAGAAGCUGGUACAUUUGAAGGGAUUUCUUCCAUGCCUUUUCUUAUUGGGAGUACAGAGGAGGUUUUGCAAUAGCUGUUUCCUCCCCAGUCACAUUCAAUCCUGCAGAAGCCAUUUGUACAGCAAGUGAGUACCAGAGCAUGCAACUAUACAGUUCAGUUGUGUUGGAGGACCUCACCAUCAGGUCUCGCUCCCUCUUAGUAAGUGUCAAGAGAGACCAAGGCCACUGUUGCUUCUUCCAAAUUCCAUUUUAUAAGGACUCUCAAUUUUAAAGUUGAGAAGAUGGAUCAUAUGCCUAUCUGCUUCCAGUGUCCUCUUGCUUCCAGGCUGAAGGAGCUGUGUUCUCCAGGACAUAGUUCCAUGGACCCCAGCUUCAAAAAACAUGACUCUACAGUGUGAAAUAAUUGAGGGUAAGCACUGCGAAUUUUUUUUUUUUUGGGGGGGGGCCACACCCACAGGAAUGUGGAAAAUCUCAGGCUAGGGGUUAAAUCGAAGCUGCAACUGCCAGCCUACACUAUAGCCAUAGCAACUUGGGAUCCAAGCUGGGUCUGUGACCUACACCACAGCUCAUAGCAACGCUGGAUCCCCAACCCCACUGAGUGGAGCCAGAAAUGGAACCCAGAUCUUCAUGGAUAUUAGCCAGAUUCAUUUUCACUGUGCUGCAACGGGAACUCCAGCACUGUGAAUUUGGGACAUGAUGUCUCCCACACUGAGUAGAUAGUCCUGUACAUAUUGAGUCCUGAAAACACUGAAUGAAUGAAUCAAAUAGCCUUUUUUGGAGAUCCACUGUACUGGUAGUAUGCUAUGUGUUUUAUGUAUGUUCUUUCAUUCUUCUAAUGUUGUUCUAUGGCUGAGGAAACUGAAGCUAACUAGAAGUAAAAGAAGCUGAAGAUCUAGAAUUGACAAGCAUAGAAAGGAGAUAUGACUAGAUCUGAAGUUCAAGGGGAGGACUCCUGCAUGAGCAGGGCCUUAGUCUGGGUGUUGAGACAUGUUGUGAGAUUCACCAUCAUGGCUCAGCUGGUCCUAGUUCCAGGCCCAGCUGUGGGGGGCCAUCACCUCUGAGGUCUUCUCAGGCCACCAUGUGGCAGCACCAUUGUCAGGCACUUGUUGUCAGUGACAAAAAUGGACUUCCUAUUUGCUCCUUCUAAUAGCCCCUUAAAAUAACACAUGAGUCUUUCAUAGUUUUAGCUUCCACUUGAGAACCUGCAUUCAGACUAAAACCUUUUUGUUGUGGUUGAGAUUGAUUUGCAAUCUGAUUCUUGCAUUAGAUAGCCAUUCUUAGGCUAUUAGGAGCCCCAUAGAAAAUUGCUCCAAUGGAUCCAUAUCACUUUGGGAAGUUCCCGUGGAAUUGUUCUUCCGGAGAAAUGAUAAAAACUCUGGGUCAGUCGCUAGAGUGUCAGCAGAUUGAAUGGCCAAAAGAGAAUGCCUCCCAUCUGUGGCCCUGAAGUGCUGGGUCAGCAGAGGAAAGUGGUUAAAAUAAUUACCGUGGAGUCAGGGAAUUUGGCAGAUUUGGGAGAUCACACAUGUAAAGGGACCUUUUUUCCUCCGUUUUCUUAUCUCAGACCCAUGUGAAUUGAUGAUCAUGAGGGCACCAAGGGGACAGAAAUAGACGUUAUCCUGCUCCGGUCCCAAACCGGGAAGAAAGAAAUAACCAACCCUACUUCUCUACAUGGGUGGAAUGAGGGCUGACCAGUAUGCAAAUGGCAGCAGACAUAUGGUUAUGUUCUGAUUAGCUACUAGUGAUUUGAAGCCAUGCAUAUGUAUCAACUGCUGAUGUAUGUAUGGACAAUACAUCUGUUUACACAAAUAGACUUGAAGCAUUUUUUUUUCCAUUUUUCUUAAGGAUCUAGUACUGGAUGCCCAUAGGAAAAGAUGUUUUACUUCCUUUUCCCAUUAAUUUUGAUCAGCCAGAAUCAAACUACUUUGUUUUCUCUUAUUCUUACUUUUGUGAAGGAACUUUUUCUUUGUGUGUGUAGCUUUACUAACCAUAUUGUUUGGGCUCUUGAAAAAGGAGGUAUGGGAGUUCCCAUUGUGGCCUAACAAGAUUGGCAGCAUCUCUGGAGUACUGGGAUACAGGUUAAGUCCCCGGCCCAGCACAACAGAUUAAGGAUCUGGCAUUGCCUCAGCUAUAGCAUAGGUUGAAACUGCAGCUCGGAUCUAAUCCCUGGCCUGGGAACUCUAUGUGCCAUGGGGUAGUCAAAAAAAAAAAAAAAAAAAAAAAAAAAA